RNAcentral lists this ribosomal RNA (815 nucleotides) under uncultured bacterium. Its description in RNAcentral is "bacterial SSU rRNA". It matches the Rfam family "Bacterial small subunit ribosomal RNA", at positions 1 to 787 of the family's 1533-position model. The record is from RNAcentral.
UUAGAGUUUGAUCCUGGCUCAAGAUGAACGCUGGCGGCGUGCCUAACACAUGCAAGUCGAACGGAGUUCUUAAGGAAAGCGGCUUCGGCCAAAUGACUUUUGAACUUAGUGGCGGACGGGUGAGUAAUACAUAAACAACCUGCCCCGAUGUCUGGGAUAACAGUUGGAAACGACUGCUAAUACCGGAUAAGUUACCUGAAGGCAUCUUCAGAAAACGAAAGAUGGGAUACAUCGCAACGGGAUGGAUUUAUGGCGCAUUAGUUAGUAGGUGAGGUAACGGCUCACCUAAACAAAGAUGCGUAGCCGGCCUGAGAGGGUGACCGGCCACACUGGGACUGAGACACGGCCCAGACUCCUACGGGAGGCAGCAGUAGGGAAUUUUCGGCAAUGGGGGAAACCCUGACCGAGCGACGCCGCGUGAGUGAAGAAGGCCUUCGGGUUGUAAAGCUCUGUUGUAAGGGAAGAAAUGUACGGAUAGGGAAUGAUCUGUGCUUGACGGUACCUUACCAGAAAGCCACGGCUAACUACGUGCCAGCAGCCGCGGUAAUACGUAGGUGGCAAGCGUUAUCCGGAAUUAUUGGGCGUAAAGGGAGCGCAGGCGGUUUAUUAAGUCUGAGGUUAAAGUUCGGGGCUCACCCCCGUGAUGCCUUGAAAACUGGUAAACUAGAGUGCAGGAAAAGGGAGUGGAAUUCCAUGUGUAGCGGGAAAAAUGCAUAGAUAUAUGGAGAAACCCCAGUGGCGAAGGCGGCUCCACGGCCCUAAAACCGAACCUAAGGCUCAAAAAGCGGGGGGAAACAAAAAAAAAAUAAAAACCC